This 29-nucleotide non-coding RNA is filed under the name Mus musculus (house mouse). Lineage: Eukaryota; Metazoa; Chordata; Mammalia; Rodentia; Muridae. The record is from RNAcentral.
UAAACAAGUGUCACAUGAUCACAUUCAUA